This is a non-coding RNA of Tetranychus urticae (two-spotted spider mite), 7022 nucleotides long. Lineage: Eukaryota; Metazoa; Arthropoda; Arachnida; Trombidiformes; Tetranychidae. The record is from RefSeq and is a predicted model, not a curated record.
UUCACUUCAACAGCUGUAAUUAAUUACACUUUUACUUGGAUUCAGUUGAUUAAGAUUAAAUAGUUCAACUUUUAUCUUCAAGCUUUUUAUUCAAUGAUCACUGAUCAACCAACAUGCCAUAAUCAUCGGUAUCAUCACCAUUUACAUAACCCUCUUGUAAACCAUUACUUACUAGGCAUAUAAGUGUCAAAGAGUAAAACAUUUAGAUUGUGAUAAAAGUCUGUGGGAGUUUAAAAUGAUGUUUUUUUAUGUUAUUUCAUGUGAGUGAAAUAUAGUAAAGUGUAUCUACUAUCUUCAUAUUUGUCAUCAUCAUCAUCAUCGUCGUCUUCGUCUUUAUCUUUGUUGUAUUAAGAGGGAAAAAAGUUACACUCAACUCACUUGGCAAACUCAUUUUUCUUUCACUUAAAUUGUACUUACUUGUUAGGUAAAAGAUGAUAGUGAAAGUAGGAAAUGUAAUCCAAUUGGGUUUCCAUUUAAUGUUGUUGUUUUUUGUUGCUUGUUGAUGUUGAUGUAAUGCAAUGUUCAUCAAUCCGCAAACAUGUUACAUUAAAUGACAUACAAUGACAAUGAAUCUUCACAUCAAAAUAUCGACCAUCAUCUCUUAUCUCCAUCCAUUCUACUCUAUAACCAGUUACCUAUCUUUGUUAUUCAUCUUCAUUCCUCUUACAACUUACCUUACAACAUCAUUUUAUUUUACUUUUUAUACACUUUACUUUUAUCCUUUUCUCUCUACUAUUUAUCUCAACUUUACAUCCCUAUUGAUAAUCAACUUGUUAACCUUAUUUGUUUUUAUUAACCAAUAGAUUUAUAUCAUUCCCAUCAUUAGACAACAGUAAAAUUAGUUUACAGCCAUUAUGCUCUAUAAAAUGAAAUUAAAAUUGUCUCUUAUUCAAUUAUGAACAGUGUCUAUUAUUAAUUUGUUUCAGAUGUGUAAAGUGAUGAUAGUUAUUGACUUUGUCAGUUACAAAUUGAUAAACAAAAAAUCCAAAAUUACGAUUAAAUUAAUUUGAUUCAAAAAAAGCGCUUUCCAUUAGUUAUGCCAUCUGAUGAGCGUAUGCAGCUAUUAACUGGCGGUCAAAGACAAGCUGCAUGUUGCACCAUCCAUUAAAAUGACAACCAUCCAUCACAUUUAAUUUGAUUGUUAUGGGUUUUUAAUUCAUUCUGAUUUGCUAAUCAGUCAUUUUGUCACCUUUAAACUAUGUUAAAUCAACUGGUCCUUUAUGUGUUAAGUGGCAAUUAUUAAAGCCACUUGUGUGUCUUGACUUUUUACCAAAACCUAUCUUUCAGUAUAAAAGAUGUGAUUUGUGUGAAAUUUUUUAUUCCAUCGUUUAGCUGUUUAUUAAAUUUUAUAUUUUCAACCAAUUUUUAUACACUUAUCAGGCAUUUGAACAGUUAUUGGAAUUUUCAGCCAAAUAUUGUUCUUGAUGGUAAAGGUAAAGCAGUUACCAUGAAUUAUAAAUUGUUUAAAUAUAAUACUGUUUCUCAACUGUCGUCAAUUAUCAGGAGAUUUAUCGGUGCUUAAUUUAGCUGAUUAAAGUUGAAUAAUCACUGAAUAUUUCAUUUACGGAUAUGAUAUGUGGAAAAACUCUACUGAUUUAUCUUUACUUUUAUAAAUUCAGCUAAGUCCGAUUAACCAUUUUUUUCCCUCCUCAUCAACUUCAAUAACCCUUUUAAAGGCUUAAACCAUAAGCUCAUUCAUUUGUUAUUAUUGUAUUAAUGUUGCAACUAUUAAUAACAUAAAAAAACUUUUCCACUCUUCAUAUUUUGAUUUUUAUCUUCUCAAUUUGUCUCAAAUUUACGCAACCAUCUGAACUCAUUUUGACGAUUGUUGGGAUUAAUUUUGUUACACCAGAUAUAAACAGAUCGAUAUUUUUCCUUAUUCAUAAUCACAAUAAUCAAGAUGAUGGAAUCAAUCUUAUUCUGUGGAUGCCUAAAAAAGGGAGGAUAAAAAAGCCAAAGAUCCAUUGAAAGAUCAACAGCAACAAUUUGAUAGAUUCAAAUGUUAAGUUAAUUGCCACCCUCUUGUGUUGUUUUUGCCCACCCCAGUUAUUAUUGCUCUUGACUCUCAAAUCAGUUGUCAAGAGAGUAAAUGAUAUCGCUUUUGGCUAGUUGACGCUCUUUUGUGUAUAACUUGAAUCCAACUUGGUUUAUGUGCAUAUUGGUAAUGGGUAUGGUUGAAUACCCAUUCGAGCAUCAUUUUUAAAUCAACUUGAAGAGGAUUAAAUCAUCUCAAGAGGAGCUCUGUUGAUGCUGAUAAACUUAGGCAUAAAAACCUGACGAAGCAGGAAAGAGUGGCCUUCAGAGGAUUCCUCAACUAUCGCGCCCAUCAGCUGAUUCAGUCACAAAAAAGUUCAUCCAUGAAGUAGGAAAUGAAAAAGAUGUCUCGACGAAAAUCAAUAAUGUAAAGCGAGGAUCAAAGAAUAUCAGAGAAGGAAAGAAAAAUGAUCAGGGAAAAGAAAAUGAUGAUUAAAAGGACGAGGGAAGAUGAUGGUAACAUGAUAGUCAAAUCAAGCGUCUUGAUUAUUAAAAAUGGAAGACUAUUUAUUGUGUCACUCUAUUAUUAACCAUCAAUAUUUAGACUUUAUAAACCCAUUGAAAACCUUUUUUGUGACCUUUUCUAAAACUUUCUCUUUCUCUUCAGUUGUCUCUUGUGAAUAUGAAUAUAAAGAUUGGAAUUAUCGGAGAGGAUCAAAGAUGAUGAGAUAGAGAAAUGAGGCUGAGAUGUCACCUCGACAUUCAAUAGCAACAAUUAAUCCUAGAUCCUAGUCUCAUCCCCAAAGGAUCUUGCUAAAAGGGACUGUCAUAUUUCACUAAUCUUUCUUCUCUUUCUUCUCUUUCUCUUUUUCCACUUUUACUCUUUACCUUCAUCAUCCUCCUCCACCACCUCCUCCUACUUUUAUUAUUGUUAAACUAUUCAACAUCAAGAUAUCAAUCGAAAUUUCCCCUCCUUUUUCUGAUGAUGAUCAGGAUCAGCAUCGUUUACCAAUUAUCAAAACCAUUUACUACUUAACAUUUUUGCUAAUUCAGAUUCCCCUGAUGAAAUUGAGUGUCCAUCAUCAAACAACAUCAACACACAAAAAAGUCAAUUCAUCCAAAUCUGUUCAUCUCUCUCUCUCUUCCUCUUCCCAUCUGUCUAUUAUUAUAUUCACUGUUGAUGUUCAUCCUUAUUUAUUGUUGUAUCUAAUGACAUUAUCUUAAAUCAUUGUGCUUGAUCCUCAUUUAUUUAUCAUUUUAAAUCUUGAAGGUUGAUUGUUUUAGUUUAGACUCCAAACACAACUCCAACAAUAAUUUCUAUUGAUGAUAAUCAAUUAAGAUGGAUUACCUUUCUUUACCUUUGAUUUACACUUGUACAGCUUUAAGUUUGUUGCCAAAUAGACAAAGUGUUUCACAAUUAAUAUUGAGUUGAAUCAAUUAUGCUUGAAAUUUACUGAAAUCAAUGAACUUGGGAAGCUAGAUGAAAUGCUUUUAAUCAAAACAAUAAGAAUAGAAAUAACAUUUUCAGGGACAAUUUUUCAGAGUAUUUACAAGGAACAAAAGCAAAGAUUGUAACAGAAAAGGAUUAAAUACUUUAUCUUUAUCCAGUUGAUGGUUAAACACAAACAUCAUCUUUAACAAGAACAACAAUUGAGUUGACAAAAAUUGAAGGUUUUGUCAGGUAAAAAUGCUUAUUGAGAAGAUAAUUUAUUUUUGUUUCUUCUCAAGCUUUUGUUAUCUUCCUUUAUUUUGGUCCUCUUUUUCAUGGAAGACUGGAAAAGUCAUUUUUAAAAGAGUGAUUAAGGAAAUCUAAUCCUUUUAUACUUAUAGUAGGUUAAUCCUAACCUCAAAAUAUUAAUUGGAUUGAGAUAGAUAGAGUUGAAGGGUUUACAUUCCCCUUUGGGUCAACAAUGAUAAAUAACGAGAAUGACAUCAAUUUAUUAUUUACCUGUUAAGUUAAAUCAUUGUUAGCAGCAGUUAAAAGCUUACAAACAACUUAAAAUUGUUAACAAAAUUAUCUCUCUCUUUAAAUAUGUCAAUGAACAUAAUUAGAGCAAACAAUUGACCACCACUUAAUUUGAGAAGCAAACGUUUAACUAAUCAUUAUUAACUCCAUUUCAUCCUGUUUCUGGGAUUUUUACAAAAAUAUUAUUCACAGCAAAAAUAAAGGGAAAAUCAUCUAAACCAAACAACUAACGGUUGUGUAUGUUAAUAAAGCAAAGUACAAAAAUAUAAUUAAGCUAUAUUUUUAACUGUAUUUUGUCAUUAUUUUGGGAAAAUCUAAGUUUGGGUAAACAACAAUUUACUAGAUUAACUAAGCAGUUUAACAUGAAAGAAAUAAUAAAUGAAUGUACGAUGAAAUAUGAAACUUAAUGUCUAACUAAUGAUUUUGUUUUUAUCGAAACAAACCAAACCAAGUAGAAACCAUUUGAAUAAAACAAGAUACAUUAUUGAAUGAUAAUGAUGUUAUCUGAACUCCCAAGCAACAAGCAACAUUCGUCAUAAUCAUAAUCAUCAUGGAGAAAAACAAAAUAAAGAAGAAAAAAGGAAAGAAACAGGUUAAUAUCAAAUAUAAUAUGUAUUCUGAAAUUGUUGUAAUUGAGGAUUAAAUAAGAGCACAAUGCUAAUUAGCUAAUUGAUUCCCAGGUAAUACAAAUUGGGACACACUUAUACGAUAAUAUACAAAAAGUCACAGCAUCACAGUCACUAAAAGUUAUUAAAAAACAAACAAAAUAAAGUAAUCAAAUCAACAAAAUCAAAGUGAAAAAAUAAACAUCAGAAAGGUCAAUAUUGAUAGAUCCAAUGACUGAGAUCCGAUACUGAUUUCAAUGUAUUGAUUUUAAAACGAUGUAUCGUUAAUUUAUUUGUAAACAAAAGACAAAAGUAUUAUGAUCAUGAUUUUGAUUUAAAUCAUUCAAUCGUUGUAAUCUCCAUUCUUUCCCUGUAACCUUUUAGCGGUAAAUUAUAAUUGUCCUUUAACCUGCUACACUCGCUGGUUAACUCGUGUAACAAUAAUAACAACAAUUGUGCCAAUGAAGACAAAACAAACACGCUGACUGAUAUAAUGUUAAUAAGUAAAGCAACUUGGAGUAAAUUGUAUUGAAAGCUAAACAUAAUGUGAAACCCUUCAAACAGUGAAUGUAUUAUAAAUAUCUACCUAUUUGGGUAUGUAUAUGCAUGUAUUAUUACCAUUAUAAUAGAGAGAAAGGAAGAAAUUUUCUCUAUUUUACUUUACCUUUUCUCUAAAAUACAUGAACGUUAAAUCGAUAUUAUUCAUGUUCAUCCAAAGAUAAAUUUACAUUUCUUUUCAUUAAAUCAUAUCAAACGAUAAUAACAAACAAACAAACCAGUGCAACAUCCGAAUCAGGAAAGCAGUGAUAAUCAGUGAAAAUAAAAAGGAACCACAAAAAAACAUUCAUCAAGCUUGACUAAACUUAAACAUCAAUUGAAACAUCCACAAACCAAAUAAACAGUAACUCUCAAAGAUCAACAUUUUAAUUGGCUCCUUUGAUUGCCAGCAAUCUUGCUUCAGUAAAAUACUCAUUACCACAAUCAAUGAACAUCCAGUGACUAUGAAACGUCUAUUGAGUUACAGACUUUAGUGAAUAUAUACAAAGUAGAUUUACAUUAAGUAAAAAAUAGACUUUAAUAGACGUUAAUAUAUUGUUAUUAUAUUAUGUGAUAUUAAUAUUAAAUCAACAAUAACCUUAUUAACAAUCAGAGAAAUGAUUGAAAAAAUACAAAAAUUUGCAAAUGUAAAAUAAUGUAAAGCAUAAACGGAUCAAUAUGUUUGGAGUUUAUUUUACAGCAAAAAAGGUUUUUCCUUUUUUUGCAUUGUUAUGUGUUUACUUAUGAUUUGUAUCAUUGAUGGUUUAACAAAUCUAAUCAAAUAAAUUUGAUCCUUGAUCAAUAAACUCAGCUGGAUACAACAACAAUUUGUGUAAAAUUGCUUGUUUAACAUUGCUAUUAACAGACAAUCAGACAUGAAUUUGAAAAGGUAUAAAAAAUGUAUUAAAGCUAAUGGACUUUAUCAACAGAGUAAAUUGGAAAGCAAAGGAAUCAUUUCAACUAAUCUCAACAUUAUUUUCAUCAUAUUUAUCAUCGCAUUCAUCAACAUUUCCAUCAUCAUUUUCAUCUUCAUCACCAAUAGUUCAAUGAAUGAAAAGGAAAAAAAUGUUGAAAAGAAAGUCUCAUUUUUAUGGUUGAACCAAUUUUACUUUAUUUGAUUUAGCUUUUCAUCUUUGAUCACUAUUAACGGGAAAUAAUAUUUUUCCGGUUAACAUUAUUUUGAUUAGUAAAGCAUUUAUCAAAUUACUUGGUAAAGGUUCACCAUUACUUAACCAAUUUCAAUUGCGCUCACCAUUAAAACAGUAUUUGAUUUAAACACAAAACAAAACCUUUACGUGAAACUUGAUUGAAACCCAUUUUUGGUUUUUUUGCCUUGAUGAGCUUUUCCCUUGAAAUUCAUCUUUAUUCACAAUUUAAAGUGUCAACUAAUUGAUUUAAUUGUUAUUCAAAAGAUGUAAUUCAAUAAUUAGUGAAAGAUUAAUUGAUGUUAAAACUGAGGCAAACAAGGAUUGAUUGGAUAAAUUGUAUUGCCGGCAUAAAAGUAGCUCUUGAAUAAUGAAUAAUGUUCAAGUUAAGUGGAUGUUGAUGUUAAUGAUUUAAUCAUCAUUAUUAUAAUCAAUUUGAUGAUCUCCAUCACAAUUAUCAAAUGUUUUAUUUGCAAGGAAUAGUGACUCACAAUAAUAAUCUUUCCAGCUUUUAUGAUCAUUUCAAAUUAAUAAUCUUUCAUCUUUAUUAUCAUCAUUUUUUUCAUUGUAUAUAAUGUAUAACAUUUUUUUUAUCAUUUUCAAUGCUCCUUUAACUUUAUUCAUAUUAAAUAUCAUCAAGGGAUGAGGAUAAAGAUGAAAUGGACUUGAGGGAAAUGUUGAUAAAUUGGUUAUUCUGGUUAAAAUGUUAGACUUUUUUAGGUACAUUUUUUGUUUGUCAAUGUAAAAAUGAUAUUACCUUUUGUUUGUCUGUUGUAUGAAAAUCUUUUGGUUUAA